UACGGAGGGUGCAAGCGUUAUCCGGAUUCACUGGGUUUAAAGGGUGCGUAGGCGGCUUGAUAAGUCAUUGGUGAAAGCUCACAGCUUAACUGUGAAACUGCCAUUGAAACUGUCUAGCUUGAAUCUGGUUGAAGUGGGCGGAAUACAACAUGUAGCGGUGAAAUGCUUAGAUAUGUUGUAGAACACCGAUUGCGAAGGCAGCUCACUAAGCCAACAUUGACGCUGAGGCACGAAAGCGUGGGUAGCGAACAGG
Molecule: ribosomal RNA, 253 nt
Filed under: uncultured bacterium
Lineage: Bacteria
Description: partial 16S ribosomal RNA
Rfam family: Bacterial small subunit ribosomal RNA
Source: RNAcentral